UACCAAAUUAUAUUUGUAAAUGGUAGAGAAUUAUAUUCUUAUACUUACAGAGAAAUAAUAUGCAUUUUCUACUUCUGUAUUUCAGUAAAUAUUAAACAUUGUUUUAGGUUAUAGAGACCACUUUUGUGAGUGUCUUCAAAAAGCAUCAUUUAAUAGUCUAACUUUUUUUUUUUGGUACCGGGGAUCAAACUCAGGACCUUGCACUUGAGAGGCAGGCGUGGCGCCACUGAGCUAAAUCCCUGGCCAACAAGCAUCAUUUAAGUUUCGAGAGAAUUUAGCUUUUAAUUUACUGGGCCACAGAGCAAGUGCUUCUGUUUUAAAUAAUUGCAAAAACAUGGUAGUUUCCCUUCUUUAGAAUACAAAUUAUUAAGCUGAUAAAACAUGGCAUGAAAAAUACAACUCUUGGUUAGGCCCUAAAUUUCAAAAAACCAUGGGUACUUUAGGGUCAUAUUAUUGUUUUGGGUUUUUUUGCUACCGGGGGAUUGAACUUGGGUCCUCUUGCUUGCGAGGCAGGUCGCGGAACCACUGAGCUAGAUCCCUGGCCCAGGGUCAUAUCAUUGAAUCAAAGCGUAACUGCAUGGGUUCAGGCAUCCUAAUCAUUAGUGCCAAUGGAUGAUUCUAUAGGCAAAUAUUGAAUAAUUUCCUACAAAAGGAGAAGGAAUAAAAAUAGUCAUUGUAUAUAAUGUGUGGAAAUAUUAGUCAAACCUAGUCCUUUGUAAAAAGUAAGUCCUAUAGACUGUGUAUGUAUGUUUUUUGUUGUUGGUUUUUCUUUUUUGGUACUGGGGAUUGAACUUCGGUCCUUGCACUUGUGAGGCAGGCGGCAGAACCACUGAGCUAAAUCCCCAGCCCAGACUGUGUAUGUAUGUAUAAUACAUGACAUCAAGGUUACCAUGCUGCCUUUUGAUAUAUGGAUAAAUGAAAUUAUAACUAGUAUUAAAGAUAGUAAUAGUAUAUAAGAUGCAGAGUUUAAAAUGUCAUUGCAUAAAUUCUAUUUUUAAGGUGUUGAAAUUUCUGUAGUAUUGUUUAUCUUGUUCUUUAACAAUCAAAAUGAAGAAAUACAUCUUUGUUAAUCUGCAAAGGCAGGUUGUGUCAUGUGAAAGGUAGUUUUGUUUUUUUUUUUGCUGGGUGCAGUGGUGCAUACCUGUAAUUCUAGCACUCAGGAGUUUGAGGCAGGAGGAUCACUUUGAGUUUGAGACCAGCCUGGGCUACAUAGUAAGUUCAAGGCUGGCCUGAACUACAUAAUGAGACCUGUCUCAAAAAAAAACCAAAAGAAAAAAGUAAAAGGUAGUUUUUAGUGUUUUCUGUUUUAACUGUAAUCAUUUAACAUUGAGAAUUUCAGUAUCAGAGCAAUGUAUUUUCUGAAAAAUAUUAAAUUUCUAGCUGGCCGUGGUGAUGCACAACUGUAAUCGCCAGCACUUGGGAGGCUGAGGCAGGAGGAUUACCACAAGUUCAAGGGCAGCUUCAGCUACAUAGUGAGUUCAAGGUCAUCCUGAACUACAUAGCAAGACCCUGUCUCAAAAAAAUUAAAUUUCUUUAUUCAAGUAAGCCAUCCUGGUAAUUGACAACCCAUCCCCCUCAACAAAUAUAAAUAAUACUGCCUCGUUUUUCUUCCAGAAAAGACUAGUAAGAGGUAUGCACUUUUCAUUGGAUAGGUAUCUUUCUCUUGUUUCAGAUAGAUAUCUAGCUAGAUACUUACACUUGGCAUGAGUCAGGUAAUGUGAGGACACUAUUUUACCAUCUUUUAAAAUGGAAAGACCUCUACAAAAUUGAGACAUUAUUCUAGAGCAGUGAUGGAGAACCUUUAGAGACCGAGUGCCCAAACUGCAACUCCAAACCCUACUUAUUUAUUGCAGAAUGCCAACACUGCAAUUAAACCUGAAUAUUGAGGGUUUCCUUUAGAAAAAGCAACUUGUUAUCGUGAUGCUCGGCUGCUGGGGUAACUUGGCUUGUGUGCCUGUAGAGGGCUCUGCGUGCCUGCUGCAGCAUCCAUGCUCUAGGUGUGCCACCACUGUUCUAGAGUAACAUGAAAAUAAAAUGCUUUUAUUUUCAUUUCCUUAGUGAUAAAUGAGCGAAUUCUGAAGUUUAUUUUUUUAUGGCAUAGAAUUUAUGGAUGAAUUUUUAUUGUCAUCUGAAAAUAGAAAACAUUUGAUUUUGAUAUUCAGAAUUUCCUAAAUAUGGC
This 2179-nucleotide long non-coding RNA is filed under the name Heterocephalus glaber (naked mole-rat). Its description in RNAcentral is "lncRNA (ENSHGLG00100052434.1)". Lineage: Eukaryota; Metazoa; Chordata; Mammalia; Rodentia; Bathyergidae. The record is from RNAcentral.